UACGUAGGGGGCGAGCGUUGUCCGGAUUUAUUGGGCGUAAAGAGCUCGUAGGCGGUUCAUCAAGUCGGGCGUGAAAGUUCAGGGCUCAACCCUGAAAUGUCGAUCGAUACUGUUGUGACUAGGAUACGGUAAAGGUGAGUGGAAUUCCGAGUGUAGCGGUGAAAUGCGUAGAUAUUCGGAGGAACACCAAUUGCGAAGGCAGCUCACUGGGCCGCUAUCGACGCUGAGGAGCGAAAGCUAGGGGAGCAAACAGGAUUAGAUACCCUGGUAGUCCUAGCUGUAAACGAUGGAUACUAGACGUAGGAACUGGAUUGACGGUUUCUGUGUCGUAGCUAACGCGUUAAGUAUCCCGCCUGGGGAGUACGGUCGCAAGACUAAAACUCAAAGGAAUUGACGGGACCCCGCACAAGCGGCGGAGCAUGCGGCUUAAUUCGAUGAUAACCGUAGAACCUUACCUGGACUUGACAUAUAGGGUCUAGCUAUAGAGAUAUAGUGUGCAUUAGCGCCCUAUACAGGUGGUGCAUGGCUGUCGUCAGCUCGUGUCGUGAGAUGUUGGGUUAAGUUCCGCAACGAGCGCAACCCCUGUCCUAUGUUGCCAGCAUUUAGUUGGGGACUCAUAGGAGACUGCCGGUGAUAAACCGGAGGAAGGUGGGGACGACGUCAAGUCAUCAUGCCCCUUAUGUCCAGGGCUGCACGCAUGCUACAAUGGCAAGUACAACGAGUCGCAAUACCGCGAGGUGGAGCAAAUCUCUUAAAGCUUGUCUCAGUUCGGAUAGGAGUCUGCAACUCGACUCCCUGAAGUUGGAGUCGCUAGUAAUCGCAAAUCAGCAAAGUUGCGGUGAAUACGUUCUCGGGGU
RNAcentral lists this ribosomal RNA (857 nucleotides) under uncultured bacterium. RNAcentral describes it as "SSU rRNA". It matches the Rfam family "Bacterial small subunit ribosomal RNA", at positions 524 to 1380 of the family's 1533-position model. The record is from RNAcentral.